This 456-nucleotide long non-coding RNA is filed under the name Homo sapiens (human). RNAcentral's name for it is "non-protein coding lnc-MAP1LC3B-7:1". The record is from RNAcentral. Lineage: Eukaryota; Metazoa; Chordata; Mammalia; Primates; Hominidae.
GGUGAUGCCGAGUGCAAAACGUUAGACUGCCCCGUGUGAGGCUCGAACUCACGACCUUCAGAUUAUGAGACUGACGCGCUGCCUACUGCGCUAACGAGGCUGCUCGGCGACCACUUCGCGCCGCGGCUUUUGUGGAGAUAGGGGUCGCCCCUCGCGCCCGUGCGUCCCGCUUCCGGCGCCCGAAACUGUGCCGCGCCGGCCGAAUACAAACCAACAGACUGUAGCCAUCUUCUGAACGCUGUCCUAGAUCAUGUGAAGGCACAGCUUCAGAGGUUAAAAAUUUCGGAAUCUGGAAACCAGAGAGAAUGUUUAACCACCAGGAGAGUUCCAGGCGCCGCGGCAGGGGGACUGGGAGAGGGGACUGCGCCCAGAAUGAAGGCUCGGGACAAAAGCAGUUGCGCAAACGCGCCAAGGCUGGGCGUCGAGUGACCGCGGGCGGAGGUCACCAGCGGCCAC